GCCGGGCCGGGUCCCCGCCCCGCGCCGCGCCCGGCCCCGCCAUGGUGUCCUGGAUCAUCUCUCGCCUGGUGGUGCUCAUCUUUGGCACCCUGUACCCAGCCUAUUCUUCCUACAAGGCCGUGAAGACAAAAAACGUGAAGGAAUAUGUGAAAUGGAUGAUGUACUGGAUUGUCUUUGCCUUCUUCACCACGGCCGAGACGCUCACGGAUAUAGUGCUCUCCUGGUUCCCCUUCUACUUUGAACUGAAGAUCGCCUUCGUGAUAUGGCUGCUGUCCCCUUACACCAAGGGCUCCAGCGUGCUCUACCGCAAGUUUGUGCACCCAACGCUGUCCAACAAGGAGAAGGAGAUCGACGAGUACAUCACACAGGCCCGAGACAAGAGCUAUGAGACCAUGAUGAGGGUGGGCAAGAGGGGCCUGAACCUUGCCGCCAAUGCUGCAGUCACAGCUGCCACCAAGGUGAGAUGGGGGCCGGCUCGGACUCUCAGGGCCCCUGCCUUGUACAAAGGGCCCUGGCCAGGCCCCUUUGCAUCUACCCUGUACUCGGGGCUGUAGAGACUCUGGGCUCAUGCAGCUGGAGGCUCCAGUCCAGGCUCUACCGCUAUCUGUCCGAGUCACUUUCAUUGUCCGGCCAUUUCCCCAACUGUCCAGAGGCGAAGUGUGGCCCUGCCCCAGUCCUCAGCUCUGUCUGUGUGGGACUGGGUGAGG
RNAcentral lists this small RNA (707 nucleotides) under Pongo abelii (Sumatran orangutan). RNAcentral describes it as "retained intron". The record is from RNAcentral. Lineage: Eukaryota; Metazoa; Chordata; Mammalia; Primates; Hominidae.